UGGUCUUCAUACAGAAGAGAGAAAUGAUAAUAGGUAUUUGCCAGUGUGUUCGACCUAACUCUAUAACCCUGUGCUACAAUUCAGGAAAGCUGCACAAAUGCUACAGUGGGGAUUUCUUUCCUGUGGCACUGGCAUAAGAACUACACUGUGGGAAUAUGAGAGAGUUUAAGGUAUUUGAGCACAAUGAAAUUAUAGCUGUAUUAGUGGUCAGCAAUAAAUUUGAGCAGCCUAGUGUAAAUGUUGACAGCUAUAAGUUACACAUGAAUGGAAAACCAUACCAGGGGAUUGGAUGAAACAAAAACUGAAAAAAAUAAUAGAGAGAAGAAGAAGAAGAAAAAAAGGGGGUAGAGGGAGAACGUAGCAAUCUGCACACCCAGGAAAAACAUGGCAGCGCACCUCCAGCCAUGCUGGCAAUUCAGGCAUGGAAAAAUUACUGAAGGCAGAUCACCAUUAUUAGAGCAAGAAAAAGAUGUCCCUAAUAACUGUGUUAUCUGCCAUCAAAUCUCCAGAGACAAAAAUAGACUCAUUUGCUCCAAGGUUGCAGGGGUUACAGAGUGAGGCAGGAACCACAGAAAAAGAGAUUGAUACCAGGGAUUAAAGAUCACAGCUGUACAGAGAGGAGGUGGAAACAAAUUGGCGCUAUUUCUAAAGCCCUGAUGAAAGAAAAUGGUGCCUUGCUAGGGAAGGCGACAACUGAAAGAUAAAAGUAGAAAGGAAAUGUUUUAAUAUUAGAGCUGAACAAAGUGUUUGUAAUGAAAGUGAGCUGCAGUUUUGCUUAGUUUUGUGCUUUUUCACAAAGCAAGAGCUUGGGCCGGUUUCUCGAGGUGAGCAAUCCUAAGCCAAUUUAUUAUAUCUUCAGGUAAAAAUGAUACAGGGGAAAUUGUGAUUUCACUAGCUUAGAUACAAACCCAGCCAAAUGGGUAUCCAGCCUGGUGCACCGGACUGUUUCACUUUGUUAUUGAGUUUCCUCAGGCCUGACAAUGGCAAAGCAGAGGUUCGUACUUGUGCAGGGCUGGAGCUGCCAAGCUUUGCAAAGCCCAGACUGAGCUACAACACAACCAACUGAAAUAGCUGUUGUAAUGGCUGUCAAAUCCCCUGACACAGCAGGAAUUAAAUUACAAGCCAUUAAGGAUUAGACUAUGAGAUACUGCAGGAAAUGCUAAAGAGGAAUAUUUCCACAGACUCAUACAUCUUGUUGGUAAGACAGGUGGACACAAAAUGCAUGAUUACCAGCACAUUAGACUUGCUCACAAAAUGGAGACCAUCUUGUCUUAACACUUGACCCUGAGAAAUGCUAAGCAGGCUACUCCCCCUCAGAUUAGUGGGAGCUGAGAAAAGGAAAGAAAGUAAUACCCAUUCUUAAAUCUGUCUGCUUACUUGAGAUUAUGUAUAUAGAAGUCUAAAUUUAGCUUCCCAAAUUGCAGAUUUUAAAUAGGGAUGGUCAAAACCUGAAAGAAACAUUUUAGCAAUGUUCUCCCAUUUUUUUCCUUUUUUUCCAAAAUGUCAAAUAUUUCCUGAAACAUCUCAUUUUGACUUCCUGUUGAUAAUUACAUAGUGAUGCUGAUUCAUUAAAACAAUCAGAUAAUACUUAUGCUGCAGAAUUAUAAAAUCCAGUUUGCAUUAGAUGAGCACAGUCUGGAUACUGGAUCUUUGCAUUUGUUAAACCACUUGCCUUUAUUGUUUUUGGAAUCCACCAUGGUUAUCUAAGUGAAAAGGAUACAUUGCAGUGCCGGAGGGGAAUUUGGAAGAAUUUAACAUGUUGUCGGGUAUUUCAUCCUGCAAAGACAUUCUCAUUUUGACUGUGGAGGGGAAUAAUCUAUUAUUUAUAUUCCUAUCCACUACAUACACAGCUCUCUCCCCAGGGAGAAGAUGAGACAAAGAACAAACCAGCUACGACAGAUGUUGCUCAUAUUCUUUCAUAUACUAUGGUUAGGUGUUUAGAUUCUACCAUGGUGAAAGUGGCAUGUAAAAGUAUAUAGAGUGGAAACUAUAAUGGUGUUCUGAGGAGGGGAAAUAGUUUAUGUAAAACAUUCUGCUUCUAACGAAUCAUCCUAGAAGCAGUUACAUCAAGGUAGGGAAUCCACUGGGACACAACUCUACAUGUCACAUCUUGCUUCAUGAUUGUACCCCGUCCCUAUUUUACACCUGAAUAAUAUUUACUUUGCAAGUUCCUAGAUGAAUGCUGCACAAACUAACUACAAGGCCCUGCUGUUCAUGCCACCGUGUCUGAAUUCAAAUCGCAGGGAGCAGAAGCAAUGAGGGCCUUAAAUUAAGGAAUUAUCAGAAGGUAGUAAGGAAGAAUGUUAUUUUCCUUAGGCAGAACACAAUGCAAUUGAUUAAAGAGAGGAAAAUUAAGUAAUGUCAGUUAGUGUAAGACAGUAAUAGUACCUUGUGCAUACAUCUAUUUUCAAGUAGUCUUUGCGUAACUAUGAUUUGUUAAUUAGGAACUAUAUGUGUAACCAAGAAGAUUAUGUGGGUUUUUUUCUAAAUGAAAGUCUGAUCUUCCUUCAGCACAAACUUUCAGUAUGUUUUCUGUUAGUAACAACUAGGAUACUUUUCAGCUGUUCUCAUUAAAAAACUCUAAUUUGUCAAAAAUGAAACUGCUUACAAGAAAAGUUCUUUUUUCAUGUGUUAUUUUAAUGAAAUAUGUUUCAAAAUAUUUGAAAUUUUCUAAAUAUAUUAUCUGGGUGUUUUCGUGGGAAGAAAGUUGAAAUUAUGACCCCCAAUGGCUGUGCUACAUUGUGCUAACUUGCAAAAAAUUUAAAAAAAAAAAAAGUAAUGGUUGAAAUAAAUGUUGAACAUACUAAAACAGUUAAAAAGAAACAAUUCAGCUGGUCUACUAUGAAGUUUCUUGAAAGUAAUUUCAGACCACACCAUCACCAUCAUCAUCAUCAUUAUCAGCAUCAUCUUCAUCACAGUUUAGUCCAACUUUGGACAAGAAAAGUCUUUGAAAUCCUAAAAAUGCUCAUAUAAGUUUGUAUCUUGUCAUUUUCCAGGUCUACUGUGAAUAAAGGUGCUUUGAAAAGUUCACAGAUGAAGGCAGACAAAUAUCCAAUAUCAAGCACUAAGAAAUAAAUUACUAAAUUGCUUGAAACAAACUCAGUUAAAUUACUAGGGUGAAAAAAGCAAGAGAAAUGGAAUUAGCAGCAUAGGAAGUUAUGUCGACAUAUACAAACACAUCUACAAAUAUAGAUGUAGCAUUAUGGAAGGCAAGAACUUCGGGUGAAAAAAUCCUGCUUUCUUCAAAACCAUGUUUAAUAAUACUCGUUAAUGGAAAUCAGUUUAAUUUCUGUAAGUAUUGAAAAAUCCUGUUAUAAAUAAGACAUUUCUCACUGUGAGAAGAGUUUCUUAUGUGUUUCCAUAACUAAGGUAAUUAACAAGUCUGUGGGCCAUUCUGUGUGUAGCCUGUUCCUUGGAAUCUAAACCACAAUUUGGUACUGAUUUAAAUUAUGGAGUAUGAUACCCAUAAUAAAAUGCUGACCAUGGAAACAACACUUCUCCAUGAUCUGGGGCAAUGAAAAUGAAGAUGCACUGAGGAACUCACACAGGGAGUAGUAUUUCCAAAAAUAAUUCUUCUUUUUUCUUUUGAGGAUAUUGGCCAAAUUCAAACUGAAUGAAUAGGAACAGCCAGCCUAGUCCUCAGAAAUUCUGGUUGUUCUACUCCCUGUGUGUUGUCAUUCGUUUACUGCCAAAAAGCUACCCAAUUUCAUAAUAUAUUAUUAAAUUCAUUAUGCUGUUACUUUCCUAAGAUUAAGUAUUGUCUUUUAUUUCUAAAUAACUGUCAAUGCUUAAGUCCGAUUCAAUCAAAGGAUUUUGGCCGUUUUUAAGACACCUGUCCAAAUAAGACAAAUUUCUUGGGAUUCAAAACUCAGUCUUCUUGAGCAAAUGAGCUAAUAUUUAAAUGUUCUACAAACUUCAUGAUUCCACUAUUACACUGCAAAAAUAGCAUAUGAAAAUAGAAAUAACAUUUAUCCCACAUAACCUGAUACAUCUGCAUAGAAUGCUUAAGCAAUAUUGCUAUGAAAUAUAAUCUCUUUCUUUAACAGGAAAUUUGAAAAGUUAAUUAUUUGGCUCUCUAGAAAAAAAAAAAAGGCAAUUCAAUAUACAUUAAUCUAAAAUGUUAUACAAAAAAUAUAUGUCACAAAGAGUGAAGAAAGUUGUUUAAGUGCUCUACUCUUGACUUUCUCUUUUCUUUCCUGUGAUUCAACUUGGAAAAGACCAUUGAUACACUUCUGGUUUAAACCCACUAAAAUGUUUUAGGCUUAGUAUGCAUAGACUACCACUGGGUUUCAGUUCAGCAGUUGCCAAGAAACAUCAUCAUCUUACUGGUUUAUUAAGGUCUUACAUCACCGCUCCACAAAAGCAUUCAGGCCUUCACUGACACUUUGUUGGUUCAGGGCCCGGGUGCAUGGUCAGAUACAAAAUAGGUUUUAGGCCAAGAAUGGUGAAGGCCAAAAAAUCUCCGCUUUAAUUACUGUCUAAGCCUGAAGAAGACUUAACUGUCCAUGCUUUUAGGAGUUCAGACUUUGCAAGAUAUGCACUUUGGAUUACUUUGUGAACUUUGUGUUCUUCAGCAGCAUCUACAUGAGACCUCAGGUAUCUCAGCCAGUUUUGGGUUUUUUGGUUGGUGGGUUUUCAUUUGUUUGUUUCAUGUUGGAUACUUGACAUUGAAAUUGGUGAUUGUAGACCAGUGUGUCAGCUUUUUAUUGCAGAUGGCACAAAAUAUCCAUGGCCAGAAAGCUUGACACAUCGUUUUAUUUUACACACCCUUUGUUUGUCUAAAACAAGUUUGUUUUGCUGAGCAAAGGGUGCUUAUACCCUUGUUAGGCUUUCAAGCUCAGUAUAGAUAUGAUAAAAUGCACAGGUUUUAGUUUUAUUUUUAGCAUCCUCUGUGAUAUUCUGAUGUUGCUUUCUUUAUCAAGGAAGUCCCAAGGUUUAAUAUUUUUAUCCAAAGUUAUGUAAUUAGAUCCAAAGUCAAUUGAAUCAAGAUCCUCAGAAGUAUUUAGACACCUACAACACUGAUGUCUAUGGGACCCAGGAUCUGAAAUGUCGAGGACUUGAAUGUUGGGACCCUUUUGACAAAUUGAGCUCUUGAUGAUAUUCUCAUAGAUAUUUCAAUGAAUAAAGAGUCUGUGUUGUGAACAUAGUCUACAUGGCAAAAUUAUCUGCAGUCUUGGUUUGACUGGAUGAGCUCAACAGAUAUCUGGCACAAGUUUCAGAAGGGCAAGAGAAGGUAAAGCUCUAGGAAUGUUUUGCAGGCAAAAAAUGAAAAUGACUUCUGAGUGGGCUUUUUUUUUUUGUCAGCUCUAGGAUAAGACUACAUGUUACAAGCAUUUGGGACUCAAGAAUGUAUCAGUAACCAUGUUAGCAUCAGAAGCUGCUGCUUGCUCAAUUCCUCCCCCAGACAGAAUUUGAUUACCCAUCUGUACUCAUUUGGCCUCUCAAAAAAGUGGUAGAGAAAUAAAAACAAAGUUCUUGGAAGCUCUGGGAAGUCCUUGUUGAUAAAACUCAAACCACUCACCCAUCUAUAUAGAAUAUGAGAGAAUUCUAUGUUUUUAAGUUUCGUAAGGAAUUCCCUUAAUUGUUCCUGAGAAUUCAUAACUGAGGAUUACAUUUUUUACCACUCAGUGAAAUACUUUCCUAAAGGUAAAUUUUCCCCAGAAACUAAAACCAAAACCCUCCCAAAUAAAAAGUUAUUGUAUUGUAAUACAGUGUUAUUCUUACAGUUUCAGUUCCAAGGAAUACUCUCAAGAGGUUGUGCAGUUAGAAAAUGUCAACAUGUUUUUGUGAAUAUUAACAUUAAUUGAUGACUCAGUGUGGAAAAUUCAGAACAAGUUAGACAAAUACUGUGAAUUCAGUAAGUGAUAAAGCUCAGAGUCUAACUUGUCUUGGUUUGUAAGACUGCAUUUAAUUUUCAUGUUCCUGGGCCCCAGUUUGUCACUUCCGCGGACUCUCGACUGAAGAUACAUUAUUCUGGGACUCAUUCUCUUUUCCGAAUGCUGCGACACACGGGCGGCAUUUAUCUAAAUUACUGUAGUUCGGUAUAAUGUAAACAUCUAGUCAUCCUCUCCUUAUGGAGACUCUAAUGGAAAGCCUGUGAUGUACAAAUUAUAUAAUCUUGAAUACAGUGCCUGAAAUAACUUAGAUAAAUGGUGUGUUGAAAGUACUUGUUUCUUCUCUAUUAAUUAUGAUGGAAGCCACAGUUCAUAUGGAGAAGUUUAUACAAUGAACAAAUAAAGGUACAUCACUUGACUCCCACUUCAGGUGGUUAGAGUAUAUAAAGGUUUUGCAGGUAAAUUUAAAUUUCUUGGAAAAUGAGAUUUCCAAUCAGGGAAGAACAGGUUGCCAUAAAAAACGUCUGUGCUGGUAAGAGAGAGCACCUAUGGGGAUUACUGUGAUUCCAACUUUUUGCAAAAGGCAGACUAACAAACAACAACAAAAAAAUCAGUUCUGUCAUGGAAAAAUAACAAUGGUUCCUACAGGGAUAUAAGACAGAAACCAAACACUGAAGCUGUCCAAAGGAAUAAUACUUUCACAUCUACACACAUGUACGUGUCCAAGGCUCUUGUUAUUAUACUCUGCUGACACUUAAGAAAGCUGCAAAACGUCUUUUGCAUUCCAAAUAAUGAACUUGCUUAAAAAAGCUGUUUGGUUGUUGCCAUCACAUUUCUACUUGCUGUUUGUAAGCAAUACUCAUCCUUGAGACUUUACGAAUGUGACAAAUCCCAUUGAGAGCACUGAUAAUGGGAUUGUGAGUUACUAUAGGGUGGCAAGUACCAGAGUUUAUCUGUUCCUGUAGUAUUCCCAAAUUCUUCUUACAUUCUCUCUCUCGUGUGAUUUGCAAUACUAGGCCUCUUUGCUUUAUCACAUCUCAUAUAUCCCGCAAAGAAGUAGUUUUACAAGGUGAUAAAGAGUUCUGGACAAAGGACUCAAGAGCAUUCAAGUCCAUGCUCUUGUGCAGUGCUGUGAUCUUUCUCUUAGUCGGUUCAUUCCCUCCAGUACAUGUAAACACCUGGAUCUCAGUUGCUGUGACUGCCGUUCUCCUCCUUUCUUCUGUCUUCUGAAAGGUAAGCAAAUAAAAAAUAAAUUUUGAAGUUGCCCAGUUCAGGUUUUUCCUACAAGCUCUGUUUCUGUGUUUGUGCACUUCGUUAAAUGAAGUCAGUCUCAGAGACUACAUGUGCUACUGUGAGACAGAAAAAUGCAUUAAUAUCUGGUUUGUUAGCCAACAUUUAAAAAAUGCCUUUAUGUAUAUUGCAAUGCUUCGGUCUGUCUUUUUUUAUCUUGUAGAAAAAAAAAGAUUGAAUAAAGUCAAUUUUGUUAUGAUAGAAAAAUAAGGUUUUCUCUACCGUUAUUUAAAAAAAAUAAAUAAAUUUUUAAAAAUUGUAUUGAUGAAGACCCCUCUGCUUUUGCAUAACUGCCUCCCUCAGAGUUCUAUGAACCACAAAGCAAGAGACACAGCAAGUAGAGGGAAGGACUCAGCUGGUCAAAAUCUUUGUCUUUAUGUUAAAACGCAUUUAUUCUGUAGGGCAAAAUGUAACCAAAAAAAAAAAAAAAAAAGAAGAAAGUGUGUAUGAGUAUGUAGAACCCUGGUAAUUUAGACUUCAGCAGGUCAUGUUGCUGCAAAGGCUUAAGAGCUAGUUCACACUGUUAUUGAAUAAAAGCAAAAAGUAUAGUUACCAUAGCAACGGCCACAACGCAUGAUGCUGAUAUUUCCCUCUGAGAUUUUAAAGCCCUACACAAUUUUAAGGAAACAUGCACUGAAAUAUCUUAGGUACACUUGUAGGACUUUAUGUUUUCUGUUAAAAUGUGGUAGAUUUGAUGUAUUCAUCAGCAGCUAUUUCUGAUGAGCGAUUUUAAACAAGGCUAAGAAAACAGUUGCAUGAGUACUAACAGUUUGUACGUAAACUCUAUAGAGUUCCAUUGUCAGUUGCUACCAGAAAGGUAUAUUUUCUUGUUUUCCUAUGUUUUCAAACAGAAAGGAAAAUGAGAAUCUGUGUAAAGGAAGUCUCUUGCUCUUUCCCUCUGGAGUGGCAAGUCCUAGACAGGUUUUGUGGGUCAACUCCUGGACUACCUUGGAUUAACCAUUUGGGAAAGUGGAGAAUAUGGGAUAUGGGUUAUCAUAUCAGGUUAAAACCCAAACAAAAGGUAGGAGCUUAGAGUAUUAUCUUUAUGUUAGUUGAUGAUUCACACCUAUGUUUCAACGGUUUAUAUGGAAUAAACAAUACUUAUAACUCCUCUAUCACAGAAGACAAAAACAUAUACACUUCUGUUAUCUUUUAAAAAAACGCCUUCCAGCUAUCCUUACUUUUGGAAGAAAUUCUAGGGAGACAACCCAAGAUUACUUUGUUUUGGCAUAGAGGAAUUACAGCUGGUAAAGAAAGUUAUUAUGACGCAUAGUUCUACUGGUGGCACAGUCUUCUUAGAAUAAAUGUAAAUGCAAUUUUUAGAACAGUUCGGACUUCAGAGAUCUCUUACUGUUUGUUUGCAGAGCAGGCUUAAUAUUCACUGAAAUUUUAUUCAAUUUCCAUUGGCUUACACAAGUGCUUUGGUUCAAUUACCACUUGAUCAGACUUUUAACUUUUUAUGCUUAACCAGUGUUGUUGGAUUUUUUAUAGACUGCUGUGAAAACAUCAGUGCUGAUGUACACUUCUGCAUGUGGAAUAUUAGCUUAGAAAGUGCAUUUGUUUUUUCUUAGUUAAGUUUUCCAAAUGUCUCAGAAGCAAGCCACAGAGUCUGCAGGUUGAAAAUAUUUGCCCUGAAAUAUUAAACAGCAUUGAUGUAGUCUGUAUAAUAAUUAUUGCAUUUUACCUCUGCAGUUGAUACAGAUAUAGCCAUAUAUAGGUAUCAAAUAGGUUGAUAUAUAAAUGGAAAAUACUAUUAUUUAAUUUUAAUAAUAAUCCAUUGUAGAAGAGACUUAUAUUGAGACAGAGCAGCAAAUGUCUGAGGAAACAUUUGAGUCAGGUAGAUAUUAUUGACAGUGAGUAAUGGUUUCAUAUAACACAAAAUGUCAGAAGAAUAAUUUACAGAUAAUAUUAGGAAGGGUAAAUGAGCAGACAAUGGUUCAAAGUGAAAAUAAGCUCAAGGUGCAGUGAUCCAAAAAUUAUAUUUGAAGGCUAUAUAAUGCAAAUACAAAGCUGGCAGGGCUGCAUCCCUUUGAAAUAGAAGGAACUGUGCAGCCUAAUUGUUAAAUAUGGCUCCAUUUACUGAACAAAGAGUGUUAUCAGCAAGACAAGAAGAAAGCUAAGAAGAAAGCACUAGUUUAUACUGCAGGUAGUCACCCCUCAAAAAAUGGGCAGAACAAAGACCAUGGAUUUGUACAGUCCCAUUGAAAUUCUUAGGGAUUAUCUGGUACAAGGGCCAGAUCAGUUUUCAUAUCAUUACAUAUAAUGCUGAAAAUAACGGUUUGGUUGUUCUCCCUACAGUGAUAAGACACACAUUUCCUUUUCCUUAUGAAUGGAGAUAUCUUCUCAAUUACAUUCAUCUGUACAUCUCUGGACUGUGUAACAAGUUUAUUUUUGAGUCACUCAUUUAACAGGUGCUUGAAAGCAACACAAAGGUACUGUGAAAUUGUUGAUGAGUUGGUUUGGUUGGUUUAGUACCAAAAGCAUUCAGUUAGACCCGAUCAGGGUUCAACAAGGAGAGGGAGAUAAAUUUUGGAUCAGAGGACUGUUGCUGGAAAACAGAAGCCCUUUUUUUUUUUCUUUCCACUGGGACGUAGGACUAGAUCACUGAACCCAGUCACUUGCCAGUUUUGCCAAAUAUAUAUAUAUGCAUAGAUAUAAUAACAUCAAUUUUGAAAGUAGUUAAGACGUUGUCUUCCACUUUUCAUAUUGGACAGUUACCACAGAAAUUAAUGAGUGAUGGUUAGCACCUUCCUUUCAGGUUCCAGCCUAAAGAUACUGCUGACCAAUGCAGAAACCUUUAUGCUUAUUCCAGUAUUAUUCUGUGGCCUUUCACCUUCCCUCUAGUAUUCUGAGGAGUGACAUUAACUUUUUAUUUUUUGUAGCUUUUGUCUUUAUUUAUUUGCCUUGAAUUUUUGUGACUUGUGAUUGGGACUUUUAGUUUCAGUGUUAUAGAAUAGGUAUUUUUCUUGAUUAACCUUGUGGCAGUUGCACACGCCCCAAGAUAUCUGGAGUUUUCAAUAAGGCAGUUGAUGGUUCUUUAGCACCUUUUAUGCACCACUAUGCCUGUCCUCACAUACACACCUGUUGUGAGUGAAUGCCUGCACACUGUGCAUCGUUAUUCUUGUGUGAUCGUAUGGUAAUAAUAUCACCAACUAGUAUAUCAAACCUGCAGUUUUAUUAAAUGUUGCUGGAGUGCUGACUGAUUUUGUAUUACCCCCCUGCUGACAUUGGUUUCUUCAUUUGGUUUCAGUCUUUCAUUUGGUUUCUGUUUCGUUUCUGAGUUAAAGUUAGUUUAAGGUUAUUAUUUGCUUGAAGUCAUUGUGGGGUGCCUCCAUGACAAACCUACUUACCUUCUUAUGUAAGUGUCUGAGCCUCAUUUCAACAUUUCUGCAUACAGCCAUAUCCCUAAUAAAAAAACCAAAAAAAACACAACAAACAAAUACACAAACAAAAAAGCACAAACAAACAAACUUCAGGAGAUGGACUGAAUUAAAAAUAGAAAAAUAAACUUCAUAUAGCAUAACUACAUCAUAGUAGUGAGAGAUAUGCUCAGGAGUUUCAACAGAUUGCAAGGUGAGAUAACACAAAACCUUACUCCCUACUUUUUUCUGGUAGAUGAGAGAGUAACAUUAUUUUUAGUUUCCAUAUAGAGCAUAUGUGUUUGCCAAAAUCUUACCAUUUACUGUUCUUCCAUGGUGCACAUAUAGUACAGUGCUAGGCUCCUCUUGCCUUUUUUUCUCUUGGUUGUGCAGCCGUUAAACCAGCUAGCACAGUUUCUGUCCCUUUAACAUACUGCUGCUGUCCCAGUAUACAUACUAUCUUUUAUUAAAUCCAUAAUUCAUAUUUCUUAGCUUCUUUUCUCACAUCAGGAGUUGUAAGCAAGCAUAGUAAUGACACACAUCAGGAAUUAUAAGCAAGGAUGGUAAUGAUAUAAGGAUGUUGCAACAAACAAAAUGUUGUGCAAGUGCAAUGCUGCUCCCCAUGAGCCUCCAUAUAACUCCCUUGGCUGUGUGCUGAAGAAUCACAGACCAAAAAUGCUUCCAGCUACACAAAUGUUUUGGGGAUUUGGAUCUUUAGAAUGAAAGGUUUUGUUUGUGUGUUUUCAAGUUCUCACUGCCCAUCGUACAUUGCACAAAGAUAGCAAGGAAGCUGGGGAAAGAUAUUGUAUCCUGUUUUCUUCAGCUACUAUUGUAGCAGGUUAUCAAGAUAAAAUGGGUUUAAUUUUAUGGAAAUGGUUCAAAAAAUGCUUGCAUAUUUAACCUCAAAAUCUUUGUUGUAGAAGUGGAUGAUCACACAUACUUAUUUACUCUUUUUCUGCUACUGAAAAAUCACUUCCAUGUAAAGAGGAAACAUGGAGAUAUGCGCAUUACUAUGUAGGUCAACUAUUAAUUGGUUUCAAAGGGCUUUAUUCUUUAAAAGAAAUCAUCCUUUUAUACUUACAGAAGACAUUUGUUCCAUUUGCAGUAUAAAUUGGGACACAGGCAGUUUCCUUUGUUGUUCUUCAAACCGUGAUGAGUAAGCAAGCCCAUUAACUCGAUGAGCGAUAUAGUGAAGUCUUUUUGCAAAAUACUUCAGAAGAAGAGCAGAAAAAUCUCCAGAGAGCAUCAGAGGGACUAAAUGACUCCAGAGGUUGAUUGCAUCAGAGCUUCUAUAACUGUUCUUAAAUGGGUGAAAUUCCUAAUGAAUGGGCAAUGAUCAUUACUAGCUGCUGACCCAACUUUCUGGUGACUACCUGACUACUAACAAUGCCUCUUAGGUAUGAAGAAAAUACAUGAUGCGUUGGGAAGAUGCCUGGCUGCCUGAGCCUUUUCUAUCUAUUAAAUUAAUGAAAUGGACCACAAAUGACAUUAUUUCAUUGCUCUCACCACCAGUGUUUUGCUCCACCAGUACCCAAUAGUACCUGCCAGUUCUUCCAGGAGAAAACUAGAAAUAAUUGAGAACUGAUUUCCGAUGUAAUAAAUUAACAUCGCUAGUCCGGUAACUGGAACAGAAAACCAGAUAGGCUCUACUCAGGUUGAUUUUAUCACUACUUCAGCACAACAGGAACCAAGGUGAGAAAAAUAAGAAAAGAAAUCCCUAUCCAUGACUUCCAUAGAACUGUUUCCCACUUAUAAAUUUCUGUUGAUUGACAAUACUAAUCUUGUCCAGCAGGGCCAAAUAGCCAUUUCUGUACCUAUGCCAAUGAUAUUACUUAAGAAUCUGAUUUAUAUUCUCUUCAAGUUGAAGAAAUACUUGCUCUCAGUUGUUACAAACUGUCAUAUAUGUAAAAGCCACUUGGUGCUGAUAGUUAUAAAGAAAAGAUCAAUAAAGCAAGCAGAGCAAUUGGCCAGUGCAACAGAUCAGAAAGCGUAAUUUGGCCUUGUAGAACAACAUGAGAACUCAGCCUCAAAAAAAAAAAACACCUUCCAGAGAGGACACAGGAAAUUUAAAUUUAUAUCCUUCUCUAUAGGGAAAAAAGAGGGCUCUUUACAUGCUGAAUUCUAUUAUCAAUAAGUGUCCAAGAUACUGAAAAUAUCUACAAUCUUAAAAAUGCAAAGAUCUGAUCAUAAAAAUUUACACAGUGGAAAUGUGGAAAUAACUCAGACACUUGAUUGUUAUGAACAUUUCUGUUCCAUUUCUUUAAUAAGCUCCACUUAACCAAGACGAACAAUCUAUAGAAAGUAGCUGAACUAAAUGCAGGUAGUGACUAAGCUGACCUGGAACGCACAAGCAAAGUUCCUCAGUUAACACUCAAGCACUCUUUUGUUUCUAUAUAUGGGUUGUAAAUGUCAUUUGGGGAAAAAAAAUAAUGAACAGCCUUCUGUUGUACACAAUUAAAACACCAGUAUUGUCAAAGGCACCUAUACUCGGAAAUGUAUUGUUAUUUCCCAUUAUCACUGUGAAUAUUUUCUUCUAUCCCUAUAACUUAAUUCUCUGUCCUUAGCUUCCCUGCUAACUGGGAUCAGAUAAUAUAUUUUUGAAGCCAAUACUUCUUUUUUAAUACCAAGACUUUUCAGCAGAGUGAUUUAACACAUUUUAGUUGCCUCAUUUACCAACAUCACUCAAAAAACUUAAAUCUAUUUGCAAACAUUACUGUGCGAAAUCUUACUACAGUGAAGUCAGCAAAAUGAGCUGCAAGGUGCUGAAAUUCCCACAUACUCUUCCUCGAUUUCUAUAGAACCAGGAUUUCCCCCUGUUGUGUUUAUUGCUGAGUGAAUGGAGUUAGAGCCUAUAAGCAAUUUUCCACUGUGUAGAUGUUUCUGUAACAAAACUACAACAAUUUCCUACUGAAAGUGAGAGUAACUAAGGGUUAAGAGAGGAGUUGUAGCUUAUUUUUAAAUACAAGCAGGUGAGACUUAUUGUAACAUAAGAACACUUUUUUUUUUUGUUUGUUUUUGUUUAACUUAAUAUGGUUGAAAAGUAUGUAUCUAAUUAUGCUGGAACCAUUCAAUUUACACCUAACUAGGUGUGUGUUUGUAGUGAUAUAAAGUUCUGAAGAAAAACUGUGUGUGCAGGCUAGGUAGAUGUCCAGUGAAGGCCGGACAAAUAGACCUAAAUAAGAAAGAUGUGGCUAUGAAUUGGUGAUUUGAGGACAGUUCCCUCGAAAAUGUCUUCAGUCCAUUAAUGGCCAGGACAUGGAUGAUUUUUCUUCAGGGUGACAAGUCAAACUUUUCUCCAAAUUUCAGUAACGAGGAAGGACAAACUCUACCUUUUGUUAUAGUAUCACCCAAUUUUAGGAUAAAAAAGUGAUAGGACAAGUACAAGCCUUUAACUAAUAGUUAUCAUUUUAAUAAAUGUCAUCAUGUAAGUAGCUAAAUGACAAGAAAAAAAUAAUACAAGUAAUGCAUUUGUGGUAGGUAGUUCACAGGAUUCACUGUCUUCUGUACUUAAAUUUAUUCAGGAAAAUCAGAGCAGGGGUUGUCUCAUAGCACAUAUGUGCAGUGCAUGGCAAAUUUGAACACACACAAGUUGGGCCACAAAGAACUACUAUUAUUCAGUCAUAAAAUAAUAACUUUAUAAGAAAUACUUUACCGUGAUAUCUUAAAGCGUUUUUAGCAGUAAUCUCUCAGUGGAGAAAGGCCUGACUUGACCACUAGUCUUCCUUUUAUUUAGUACCAGGUACUGAAGUGCAGGUACUUGGGCUAAGUAGCAUCUUAGUGUCAACCUUUGUAACACUGAGUCUUUUAUACCUGGAAGCCAGUACUGCUAUAAAUGACAAGUCACAGGAGCUCAAAUGGCUCUUUCACUACAUCCAUAGUGUACAUACACAUGCAGGAAUGAGCCACCGUCCAUAAGCCUUGUAGCUCCUAGACAUACACAUCUGCAGUGUAGUUUCUAGAAUAUAACUGCAGGCAGUAUGGAAAUUGUAUCAUGAGAAUAUCUAGGGAAGCAUAUGUAAAAUAAAGAGCAAUUGCUGUGUGAGAAAGCCCUCAGGUUGGAAUCCAGUGCAAGAGCUUUAUGGGUUUCAGAAAUAAAAUACCUUAAAUGGUGCUAAAAGAUAUUAACUGAAUGUUUUUGCAUAGAAAACAUCCAUUACUUAUUAAACAUCAGAUUAAGAAACUUUUAAAUUAAGUGAUAAUCAAAGGCCUGUUAUUGCUUUAUGUCACAAACAGGCUGGUUUUCUCAGCCAGCCUGUUCUGGCUUAUGAAGAAAACAGAAAAAGCAUUUCAAUUGAUCGAGUUUGUUAUCAAAGAAAACACCCCUGAAGAGAAAGUUUCUUUGCUCCUUCUCACUUUGUCUUUCUCAGUGUGAAUUUUAUUUAAUGAUUUACUUCAAUGCCAGAGGAGUGAUAGUGAUUAAGGCCUAGGAUGGGCCUUGAGGAAGGAUUGAUUCUGCCCGUUAUAUUCUUCUGUGCUUCUAUACUUAACAUUUUGGCUACAUGAUCUGCUUGAAUCCUAAGCUUUGGGAAAAUGAUGAUUUUCCUACUAUAGCUAGUGUUCAUCUAGCAUCAUGGGAAUCUUUAAAGCCUUUUAGUAUUUUUUUUAAUUAUAAAGAUGUUUUCCAUAUCUGUAGUCUGGUUCAUCUGUAAUUGUUUUUUAUGGCACUUGACACGAAUGAUUAAUGCUAACUUCCUUUCAGGACUUCAGCAUAUCUGUUGUAGCAUGGAUAAAGCCAAAAAGUUGAUGCUGCUUAGGUAUCUCAGGGACCUAGAACAUCUCCAAAACACAAGUAAAUGAAUGCCCUUUCCAGCAACCAGGAUGUCAGAGGAGAACUGGAAAAUUACUCAGUUGUGUAGCAUUGUAGAGCAACUAACACAUCUUUAAAAUUAAUCUGUGGGAUAACAAUAACUUGAAACUAUCUAUUUAUGUGAAUCCUUUCCUCUUUUGUCCCAACUGCAUGAGUUUUAUCUCUAUAUGUUAUUUGUUAGACUCUUUCAGUUCGGAAGCUUGUAGACCUUGAGAGAGCUGCUGAUCACCAGCUAAUGGCUACCUGUGGCAUUUCUGACUUCAGGAAGAGAAGCAAUGUGAGAGAGUUCUUUCCUCCUCAGUCUCUUAUUAGGUAGAUCAUGAAUUAUUAGUAUCUAAAUUACCUUUAAGUGCAAUCAUUUAGUUUUACCAGAAGCACUUAAAGACAUCAGAUGUGAUGUGUGUUUUAAACAUGACGCUGAAAGUAAGGUGAAGCUCUUUAGAUGCUUACCUCAGGGCCAGUUUCAGAGUCUCUUGCUUUGUAGUUUUCAAUGAUCUGUUUAAUAAGCUUAUGUUAUGCAGUAUAGAGUUGUAACUGAAUCUGAUUAUACAUGUCCUAAAGGGAAAACUCCCAGAACACGAUCAAUCUUUCAGGGAUUUAAAGUGUGAUUUAUAUAAUUUACAAGCUGUGUUUAAUACAAACUAUCAUCACACUUACCUUUUUUUUUUAGAACAUCUCUAAGGUUCAAAGAGUUGUACAAACACUGAUAAUUAACUCUGGGAUUUUCAAAGAGGUCCAAAAGAGAGCCACCCAUAUGCAGCUGAAUUGGCUAGGUAACUCCUGAAACCUUUCCGAAAAAUCCUAUCUUUGGCUAUUUUAAGCACAACUCUGCCCUUGAGAGUAGAAUAUACUUUGUUACUUGCCUUAUCCAUUUUUUCUCUGCAAGUCUUAGUAUGAAAGAUUCCAGCUGACCAAUGCCUUUUUGUAAUAAAUAAGAUUUUCGAAGGAUGACUUGAUCCCAAUCUAUAAGAACAAGAACAAGCCUCUUUUUUAAGAGGCUCUUCAUAACAUCAGAUAUUACAAGGUCCACUGGAAAUGUUGAAGUGUCAAGAUGAAAAUAUGAAAUGCUUUUAAUAGUAAAGAUGAUUAACACUUACAAUAAUUUAAUGUCAAUUGCUAGAUAUUUUCCAUGCUCAGUAAUAGCAGAUAUAUUUAUCCACAACUCAUGUUAUAUUUUGAUAAAAAACAGAUUCUUAAAACUGUGUUAUAAGCAGUCAGACUUAACGAUCACAUCAACCCUUUUUAAUUUUAUGACUCCUGAUUCUUUUUUCUAUGUCAAGCCUCAUUUGCUCACAUUUUGACUGUCUUUAUACUUACUAUAGGAAUCUUUGAUUUAUUAUCUGAAACGGUAAGCAGAUGCUUAAAAAUGGAACAUGGGUCCUUCACACAGGGUUGCAUUUCACUCUCGUUUCAAUUAAUUCGCGUUUGAUGUCUGAUGGAGAAUUUCCAGGUCAUAGAAUCAAUCAUAGAAUCAUUUCAGUUGGAAGGGACCCUCAGGAUCAUCAGGUCCAACCAUAACCUAACGUACCUCUAGCACUAAACCAUGUCCCAUGUCCCUAAGAACCUCAUCUAAACGUGUUUUAAACCCCUCUAGGGAUGGUGAGUCCACCACUGCCUUGGGCAGCCUGUUCCAAUGUCUGACAACCCUUUCCCUGAAGAAUUUUUUUCCCUAAUAUCCACUCUCCCUGACGCAACUUGAGGCCAUUUCUUAUUGUCCUGUCACUUGCUACUUGGCAAGCCCAAUUGUAAAGUUAUGAGGUAUCACUGCUAUACACAAUACAACUGCAUCAGGGCAUCAUCAUUCCAGACAACAUCUUAUGACAGUGGGAAAAGACAGAGACCUUCUCCAAUAGAAACCUUUCAAGAACACCUAUUCCAUUACUUGAACCAGGCCAAUACCUGCUUUUCUGUAUUCAUCCUCUUUCUGAUUUUGUUUCCUUUCUUAGCUGGCACAAGGUUUUCCCAUGCAAACUCUUCCCUGGACAAUUAUGUUUCAAGUAACCCAUAUAAGGGAUAGAAAUAUUUAGAGAGAAGAAAAAAAAGGUUGGGGUGCUAUUUGUGAAGGAAUGGGAAAUUGUUGGGGAAGAAAAGCGGAAAAACAUGGUGUCAGAAACACUAUUCAAUUUUUAUCUUCUUGCCUGUCAUAAGAAACAACAAGGUUGUUAUAGGUGUUAAGAGUUCAUGUACUCAGUGCUUUUAACUUGGCUCUAAUUGAAAAAUGUAACUGAUAAUCUUGAGAACUGAAAGCACAGUUUUCAAAGCAAGAACUUUAAACUAUAAGGGUGAGUAUAAGACUGUUCUGUAAGUCUAAAGGCUGGGUAACUUUUUUUUGAGAAGCUUCCAUGCCCCAUAUUCUGCUACAAGUUACAUUCAUGACUGAGCAUUUGAUGGUGAGCCAUGGAAACCAGAAGUUGUAUAUAGACAGUAAGUGGAAACACUGUCCUGCACUUAACAGUGUUUGUUGGAACAGUGUAGGACAUUUUUAUAAUUCUUUAAAGAUUUUCUCUUUCUGCUUCACAGCACUGGUCCUUCCAGAGACAGACAAAAUAACAUAAAAUAUCCAGGUGGCAUUGGAGACUUCCAUAUAGUAUGAACAAAUAAAAACUUAAACCUGGAUUUUCCAUAGGUACACUGUUUGCCCUACUCACUGGAUGGGCCACCCCACACACUCAGCUUCUAAUGGGGCUCUUAUGUUGUGGCUCUGGUCCCCUGAGGAGAAUUAAGCAGGCCCUGUCAAUGUUGUUCUCUUUAUAGCCAGAUGUUGUAGCAGACAGGAAGUGGUCAUUACUCAGCUUCUGAAGCACUUGUUUCCCAGCAUGAUUGCUCACAUCUGUAACUUCAAUGUCAAUGGGUAGACCACUGUAUCACUUUUUUCUGCAUAACAAAGUGUCACUCACCUUUGUUGCUCCUGUCUUCCGUUUAACAGUAGAAAAGACCUUGUGACUAAUGCAUUGAUUACAUAUCAGCAACUUUGCUUCAUUGAAUGUUCCAAACCCGGAACCUCCAGGUUUUGAUAUACCACAUGCAGCUUAAUGUUUGGUUAUGGUGUGUAGUAAUUAAUAAAAUGAAUAAACACAACAGUAACAGAGUAGCAUGACAGCAUGAUAAUAGUGACCUGCUAUGCUAAAUUCUCAGCCCUGAUUUUCUCUGAAAGAUUCCGGGUAGCAAAACCCGUACACGACCCUGUAUUGAAUUAUCUUGACAGGCCUCACAAUAGAAAUUACUUGGAAUAUUAUAGGUCCAACUCUUUUCUCAUGUAACAUCCAUGUUCCAAAAAUCAGAAAUUGGUUCAGACUGAAUGUGUGACUUUUCCUGCAAACUAAUAAACUCUCCUUACAUUGCUGGCCUGUUAUACACACAUUUUACAAUCUGAAGGAGCAAUCUUUGCUAAAGAGAAACAUAAGUAAGUUCUUAUUUUGGCAGUUUUAUUCUAAAUUAUGUUGCAAGAUAACAGAUGAGCAAUUUUAUCCAUUGACAAAUGGGUUUGAUCGGACUACUGCAAUGGUUCAUUAACCUCAUGAUAAGUUUGGGCUAUCUCAGAAGUGUUCUUGCUGUGAAUUUAGAUUUGAUGAUGGCUCACACAUCAAGGAAACAAAUUGCCUCAUCUUUUAUAGGAAAAAGGGGGGGUUUAAAGAAGUUAAUUGAUGUCUUUUACAUCUUAGAACUAAUAAAGCAUUUUUUCUUCUAUAUAUUGCUUUCUAAUUUUUAUGAGAGACAUUAGACAGACAGAAUGCCAACAGAACAGAUUACUUUAGUUCUGUUGUUACCAAUUAGAGGGAGUCAAAGAACUCUGAUUACAAUUAUCAGAUUUUAAUGAGCAAUUGUCUGUCAAGAUUUUUUCACAACUCUAAGGAUACGUGCACGAUUUGUAUGCAGUGUACGGGUACCUUUGUAUAGUGAGCUUUUCUUUAGAUAAUCAGUACCUGAUUUUUAACUAUUAGUAUUCACUAGGCAUUUUGAGGAAUUAUUUUUUGAUCUCUUGGAAGAGCUACUGCCUCUCUUGUUUAAGCUAAUAAAAUAUUGACUAACAAAAUAUUAAAAUUGUAAUGUUAGGAAAAGCAAAAAUUAAUUUUAGAAAUCUGCUGAUACAAGCCUACAUUGAUUCAAUAUGUUAAAUGAAAUUGGGGUGAUCCACACCAGCCAAAUAUUUCCACGUCUACCCAAUACUUUUUCAUCAAUCUGCUUCAUCUUUAAAGAUAACUUAGUAGAGGUGCUGAAUUUAAAAACUUAAAGUUCAGAUUACAAUACAGAUCUUAGCUAUUAUAUUUAUUUUUACUUAGAGUAAAUAAUACAGUGGGAAAUUAGGAAAUACUAGCUUUAAUGUUUCCACAUUAGACUACAAAUAAAUGUCCACUUCAACCUCCAGACAACUCAAUUCCAUAAUGGUGACCUUGUGCUACCUACUUCAUCAGAUAUGGUUUUUGAAAGUAGCUUUGCUUGAAACACUCCAAAUGAUGGAUGUUAAUCAAGAAAUUAAUUAUGUAUUUGUACUGAACAGGCUGUACUUUAAGACCCAAGCUUUAUUUAGUGAAGUAGCAAGAUAGACAGAGAAAGAGAUUCUAAGCCCUUUGUGACAGUGAAACUCAUAUAUGAAGUAGUUUGAGUAUGGGAAGGAUAGUAUUUUCAUUGCUUAUUCUGGAUAAUUGUUGUAAAUACCCUGAAUCUCUAUUUGGUAGCAUCCUGCUUCUCUCCAAUUUCUGUGUAAGAAAUGUGGGAUUCUAGGACUGCCAGGUAAAUUAGGGACCUAAUUUGCUGUUCAGCACGAGUGCUCUAAAUCUUUCUCUUGAGCACGUAACUCACUUAGACUUUUGAGAAAAGGAGAAACAUGCUCAAUGAGUGUCAAUUUAUGUAUUCUUCUAUCUCCUUCUCCCCCACCCCAGUUUUUUUUUUAAUUCUCUGGCCCAUUUCAGCUAAAUUUUACACAUGGGAUAGUGGUAUGAGGGUUAUGAAGUUCUUACAUAUCCUAUGAAAAUCAGAGACUGAGAAAAGAGCACCUACUACUGAAGGGAAGACGGCAAUGUGAGUUCUCAUUAAACACUACACAAUCCACAUACAAAAGUGAAAAACAGAUUAUGAAAGCCCCAACCACAGAACUGUCUUUAAGCAAAGUUUAUGAGAUAGUAGAAUACUCAUCCGUGAGCUGUAUUUGUUAUGCAGCUUUCAAAAACUUAGGCACAAACUUUGUGUUUUCUGUUGAUAUUUUUCCUAAUGUUGAAGCAUGAUUUUUUUUCCUCAAAACUGAAACAGUACAAUUCAGCUUAUUAAGAUCUGAACAAAUGCUUUCUUUUUUCCCUUGUAUUAUAUAGAAUAAGGAUGGGUUUAAAAAGUAACCAGUUGUCCUUUUUCCUUCCUUUGAAAACAACUCUUCAUUGUCUUCCUAGACAACAUUUUAUUAAGUAUUAAUAUUUAUGGUUUAAUAUUUAGCGAGGCUGAAAGGCUUACCUGUUUUUUACCAAUAAACAGUAUUUUAUUUCUGGUCUAAUGUAGUCUUUAGAAAUGUAUGGUGGCUCACUCCUGCCACCUUCCUUGGUGAUAAACUAGAUAAAGCUUCACAUGAAUCCUGCUUUUAUGGCCUAUUCUUGUCUUCUCUUUCUAAGUGAUAUAGUGCAGAAUGAAGGUCUUAUUCUGAAACUGUCAUUAUUACUGAGGAGGGUGUUAUGCCAUUGAAUGUCUCCAUUAAAACAGAUAUGGCUACUUCAGAAAUAAGGCACUACUUGAUUUGAGUUAAUGGAAACACUGCUUUCAUAAUGUCACCUUGCUACAAGGGUUGAAGUUAAAAACAAAGGAGCUACAAAUAAUGAAUAGGCACAGAUGUCAAAUUCUGUCACCAUUCAUUUAAAAAUCUACCAGAACAUAGCAUGAAACUUCAUUGCAAAUGCUCAUGGGACUAGUAGGCCUUGAAAUGGUUCUGAUGUGUCGUUAGACAUGGUAUGUUCCAUUUUGUUCUGCUUUUUGUUUGCUUUUCAUUGAUAAGUCUGGUUUAGACAGUUUGUAACCAACUACAUUUAGACACACCAGAUUCACCAUCCCCUAGAUAAUUCAUUUAGGCUGUGGAUGAAGUUUUACUUGCAGGAUUGCAAUUGCAAGUUGAAGCUAACCUGGUCUGAUCAAAGAGCAUAAACCUAAUUGAGGAAUUUUAUAGUAAUAAUGUGAAAAAGAGCAUUUUCUUGCAUCUUUGUCAAUCCAUUGCAAAUAAACACCUACAUUUUGUUCCCUGUUGUAUACUAGAACUGAGAUAAAACCAUUUGGUUUUACCGCUGUAUGUGGGUUCCUUAAGCUUUGACUCUGAAUACACAGGAUUUGCAUCAGACACAUUUCAGUGGUAAAGUCUUGGUCCAACCAUUCUUGAUUAACAGAGUUAAUGUUAAAAGAAAAAACAAUCUGCUGCUAUCUUUGGUCAGCAGACAUUACCAGUCCUUAGAAAGACAGAGGAAAUGGUAUCUUUGAAUAGUAGCAAUUUCUGGUUGAUGACACCUUCAGAGUGUCACAAUUAAUACAGUUCUUUAUGUUUGGAUUCAUAUCUGCAGACACAUUAUGUCUGUGUCACCUAUUCAAAUGAGACUCAUCUGUCCUAUUUUAUCUGUGCAAGGAUGAUGUGACCAUCCCAACUACUUUUAAUGUCUACUUUAUGAUUAGAUGGACUGUUCUGUGAAGGUGCCCACCUUUUCCACUAACUACAUGAGACCUAAAACGUGUCUUCAACUUAUAUAGCUAAAAUUAGGUAAUGGGUCCUCUUUUCCCUGUAGUUAUCUACCUAAGCAUUAGCACAUGUGAAUGCAUGACUUUUUACAGUUCUACCUCUUUUCAGGUUUAGGAAUUUGAAAAGGUAAUUAAAAAAAUGAAAGAAUAUGGUUUUCUUGUCCAUUCCUGCACAAUGUACUGACACAUUAAUGCACGAUUUUCCAAAAAUUGCCUUUUAAAAGCAAAAUGCUUACACUGAUUCUUUAAGGUGCUAAAAUUACUUUUCUAAAUUUCUGAAAUCUUACUGAAUUUUGUAAUAAAAAAAUCCUGUGUUUUCUUAUCACUAGAUAAUUUUACUAUUUCUUACAUUUUUCCUGUGACUGAUGGACUGCACAAACUCAAAUGAUCUAAACUCUGACAGUGCUUUAUCAUGACAGCAUAGGAUUCCUUGAGCACUAUGCAGCAAAUUAUUUCACAGUGUCAUCGUGUUUCUGUUAUUAUUAUUUUGAAUCUAACAAAGCUGCAUAUCUGGCUUAGGUCCCAAAUACCCCAGAUAGUUGUACAGAUCCCACAGCCUGGCAAUGUUUAUCAUGAUGCCAUUUGAAGGAGGACAAUCUCGUAUUAUCCCUGCUGCACAGAUGUAGAAGUGGGACUCUGAGGGCUUAUUCGAAACAACUGCCUUAGCAAAAGUACCUGACUUCAGAGUUCCUAAAGAGGGGAAAAGUGCUCUAGCUGAGGAAGCAGUAGCAUUCCUUCCUUAGGCAAAGCUAUCUAUUAUGAAUAACCCCCUUGAAAGAACGAUGCCUUGUUUCUCAAACAAUUUAGUUGUCUGAAUUCCACUUAUCUAAAGUGCACAUCAGGCACUUUGAUGAACUGGACCUAAACAAAUAAUUUGUGAUCGUUCCAACAACCUAUGCUUAAAAUAAUGUUUUCAUGUUAGUGUUGCUGGCCAUAUAGUUGGCUAAAUUUCUUUACAAGCUGAGAAUUAGAACUGUUAUUUUAUUCCUGUUGGUUAGAAGCGUUCUAUUUAGAUUUUUUUUUGUCACAUUAAUGGAACAGAUUUUUAGGAAUGAAAGGCCAGCUGUUUGAAUUGUCACUCAACUGAAUCUGUCAUUCUUAAAGUCAAUCAAAAGGCAGUGUUCUACUUUGAAGAAAUAUUAUGUCUAAUUAUAAAAUUUCAAGGUAAUAAUCUUUGGGAAAAAAAAAUCCAUCAUGUUCUGAAGAAGCAGUUCAAACUUUCUGAUAAUAUCUUUUUUUUUUUUUCAAAGAGUUAGUUUGAUUAUUAUAAUGAGGAAACAUUCAUGAAUGGGAUUAUGUCCACUGGUAUCCUACAAGGAUUCAUGCUAGAUUGAUAGACUUUGUUUUACUGACACAAAGAUGAUUGAAUUAGUAAAUUAAGAAAAGUCACAUUAUGUCUGAAAAAUUGUCUGUGUGUUGUAGUUAAAUGGUUGCAACAGUACAGGACAUGUUUUAAUAAAGCCAAAAGAAAAAAUAAAUAACAUGGGAAACAGGAAUAAAGGUCAGAACUAAAGAAGCAGGUCUGCAAAUCACACAGCAAAUUGCUGGCAGGAUGGAUUUGUUCAUUUCAGUACUGGAAGCUGAGCUUUGAUUAUGGAAAUAGUAACUUUUCACUGACUAAGUAUCAGGCAGCACGCACUGGUGCCUGCCUGCACCUGCCUGCGUGGGCAGCCCUGACCUGUCACUUGUCUGCAGCCUCGGAACCUGCUAAAGGAGUGGAAGAGAAGUUGAGCAUCUCCUGUCAGAGGUGCAGAAUGGGCAAACACCCCAGUCACCAACUCCAGUAAUAUGCUCCUGGGGGAACGAGAGCAAAAGCAGAUAUGCAAAAUUAAUAAGGUCUUCAGACUCUGGUCCCUUCUUUAACUGUAAGAGACACAUACGGAAAAUAACUCUUACUAUUCUUCUUUGAUAAGCAUAUUAAUAACCUGAGAUUAUCCAAACUGAGGUGGAUGUCACACAACCAAUAGGUACAUUUCACAUGGUUUUGUGUCAGACAUAUAUAUAUGCCUCCACAUACACCUCCGACAGAUUACAGCUUAAGCCUUUCGAGCAAGCUUACUUUGCUAAUAUUUAAGACAUGUACAGUGAUAAAUAGCUUCAUGAAUACAGAGAAAUCUGUGGAAGCUAUGAAGCUGCUGUCGGUAGAGAUAGAUUGAGUAAUAACUCUGUUCUGGGAAACGCAAGAAGGAAAGUGAAUGGUGAUUUAUUAACUCCAAUGAACAUAUACUGUUUAACAAGUAUAGCAAAUGGAAGUGAAUAAUACAUGAAAACUGCUAGGCCUUAAAUUUAGUGCAUACAAAACUGCAGAUUAAAUUCGUAGUAGUGGAAUAGUAAGUGAAGAAGCUGAAGAGUGACAGGUUGUAGUGGGUGGUGAGGACAGAAAUGAACCUGAUUACGAAUGUCUCAAUGUCAUGGAGCCUUAGGCACAAGGAAAACUAGAUUGACACUUGAAAACUGGGUAAAACUUUUCUGUCUAGCUAAGGGGCCUGUUACGUGUUACACUCGUAGUGUGUGGUGCUUAACUUAUGACUUUGUUCCAUACUGAAAAUGAGUCAUAAGUGCUGCUUCAAGCUGUUUUGAUUCUGAUGACAACUCUGAAAAUACAAAGCAACCAGGAGCUCCCUACAUCAAGCUGUUUCCUGUCCAAAUAACAUGUCAACCUGUCUAACUUCCAGGUUUCCUGGCCUGACGGGCUUUUGUGGAUUUCCUCAGGCCCUAACACCAAAAUCUCACUUUUGAGGCUAACUUCAAAAAUCUCAGCAAUUCCAAAACUCAAGCUGUGCAAGGGACAUUGAGAAGAAUGAAAUAAAUGAGUGGUGAUCUAUGAAACACUCUGGAAAACUCUGAGCUCUUGAGAUCCAGCACCACUGAUGAGUUUAAUUUACACUUUUUCUUUUUUCUUUCUUUCUCUACUGUAUCCAACCGCCCAAACCCUUUUACAAAUAAGAAAGGAAGUAGCCUGGGUGGAAAUGUUUGACUCUUCAAGUCUCAGAGAAGCGUAUGUAUCACGCUGAGAAUCCCUGCAGGGUUUCCUCUGCUGUUCAAGUCUGGAUUCCCCAUUGAAUAUAGCUUUAAUCAGCCAUUAAACACAACUCAUUCACAGAUUCAUUGUGUCGGAAGCGAGCAGGGACUACUGAAUUAUUUGGUUUGACAUCUUUAUACUGUAUGUCAUUAAACGUCACCAGUUUACUUCUGUACUGAGCCUAGUAAGCUGUAUUUGUUUAAAUUGUGCCAUCUGAAAAGGCAGUUGGAAUAUCUGAAUGGAGAGAUAUCAAAACAUAGCAAUGCAUUCCACUGGUUAAUUGUUGGCACCGAGUUCUGGAUUUCCUAUGCUCAUGCUACCCAGCAUUUUCUGUAUUAAUCAUAUUGAAAUACUCAUGGAGAAACCUGACAUUCCCAGCUUAGAUUUUCAGUGCCAGCAUGCAGAACAUGGCACAGUAUUCCCAAAUGUGAUGACGAUUGCCCAUUGAAAAUAAGAUUGUUGUAAGGUUCCCACACUUUAUCUCCAUGUAUGUUUCUGUAUUUAUAUUUAUCUUACAUCUGUUAUUUAUAACUUCACAUGUGUUGUCAGCAAGGCAUGAAUUCACAACAUUUUGGCAAAGAUUUCUUCACAGACCCAUCUUGAUUGGAAUUAACUCUAAUUCUAUCAGUUCUAGCCAUUGUAAUACUUUAUUUUGUUUAGGAUAAAUAAAUUAAUUACUUAAGCAGUCAGCAUGUUGCAAAUAAUCUGGAAUUUUUAUAGUAUUCAAAUAGUUAUUUAAAAUGUACACCAGUAAGUUAAACAUUUCAAGACAAAACUUGGGUACGAGCCUGGCUGUUUUAAAAUAUUUACCCCCAGUGGAUGUUGUUUCAUGUUUUCCUUUAUCAUUAAUGGACUAAGAAGUACUUCACUAUAUUUCAUGGGAUAUACAUCAACUUGUUUCAUUCUAAAAGGAAAAUGGAUAUAUGUAAGAGGUAUUAUUGCUUUCUCUACAGUGUUACUAACAGUUUUUCUACAUCCACCUAAUAAGUAGCCCAAAUCAGUUCUAUAUGUCAGUUUUGUUACUCACACAUUAAAGAAACAAACA
Columba livia (rock pigeon) is the source of this 26056-nucleotide long non-coding RNA. RefSeq lists it as uncharacterized. The record is from RefSeq and is a predicted model, not a curated record. Lineage: Eukaryota; Metazoa; Chordata; Aves; Columbiformes; Columbidae. The transcript has 3 exons.